UGUAACAGGGUCUUUGAGCCACUAUAUUCAGGCCCAAUCCCAUGUUGUAGAGUAUACUUUCAUUUUCUUUUCUUUUUUUUUUUUUGAGACAGAGUUUCACUCUUGUUGCCCAGGCUGGAGUGCAAUGGUGCGAUCCCGGCUCACCUCAAUCUCCGCCUCCUGGGUUCAAGUGACUCUCCUGCCUCAACCUCCGGAGUAGCUGGGAUUACAGUCAUGAGCCAACACGCCCGGCUAAUGCUGUAUUUUUAGUAGAGAUGGGGUUUCACCAUGUUGGUCAGGCUGGUCUCGAACCCCCAACCUUAGGUGAUCCGCCUGCCUUGGCCUCCCAAAGUGCUAGGAUUACAGGUGUGAGCCACCACGCCUGGCCAAAAAAAAGAAAUCCCUUCAUUCCUUCCUUGCUUUGUGCGUUUUGUCCAAUUAUUUGUUCAAGAUGCCAAGAACCUGGACACUCUCCACCAUUACCAUACUUUGGUGAGCCAGCCCGGAGGAAGAGUCAAGCAGGGUCACCAGGACCGCUCAGGGAGAGAGAACCCAGAAACCUAGCAUGCCAGCAAAAGGAUGGAUCAGAGGGCCCCUGAAUCAUCCAGAAAAGAGUGUAUUUUCACAGGUAAAGAAAGCUUUUUAUGGUUUAAAUCUUCUGGAAACAUUAGAGAAAGACUGUCAUUGCUAUCCACACUACAACAAAACUUCAUCCACACUACAGCAAGACUUUGGGCUUUGGAUUCAUGGCCUCAAAACUGAGAAGGGUCCCUCCACAUUUUUGGAACUGUGCACCCAUUGGAACCCUUGAGGGAAAGCUAACCAGGGAAAUUUGAAGAGGAUGCCAUCCUUGAUGGGAACAGCUUUUCCCAAGGUCACAGAUUAAGACUUAUAUUGUCAUGAAAAUCUUACCUUUGAAUUUUGUUGUUGUUGUUUUUUGUUUGUUUGUUUUUGUUUAUGCCUCUAUGAACAAGAGAAGUGGAAAAGGGGUCUGUUAUGUGCACUAAUGGGGUGUACUUUUAUUUGUGAAGGAGUUGGCAGGCAGCCUUAUACAUGGAUUACCUUAUACUCUGAUAGUUAAAAGAUGAAGGCCCAAUGUAGGUAAGAAACUUUAAGGGUACAUAUGUUACCUCAUAAUCAGUCAAAAACAAAACAUUGGUUCACUCCUCUUAACCCACAUCAUGGGUUAAAGAGAACAUUCCCAGAAGGCCUUCACUCUUCUAAAAGGCAUCAUUUGUUAGGUCCUUUUUCCAUAAUUUAAAGUAAAAGAAGCAAUGAUUAGAAACGUAUCCCUCAUGAUAGGUUUUAUAGCAAAUUCUACUGUAAACGCUACAGUUACUCAACAAACUUUACAUUCUCUUGUGAAAGUUAUGCUAAAUAAUAGAAUUAGCUAAACAGAAAAGUAUCUGUGCAGCUGCUGGCACUUGUGGCCUAUGGAGAAAUAUAUCAAAUAAAGAUUAUAGAAAUUUGGUGGUAGGGGAUUGACAAAAAAAUUGCUUAGCCAAGUGAGUAAACUCUUUAUCUAGCUCAUUCUUUGAUCUAUUUGAUUGCAGGCGGUUUGGUUUAUGGGAACCUUCGGUAAAGGGCACACUUCAAAUUCUUGGUAUGAUCCUCCCAAUAAUCAUAAUAAUAGUCUCCCUGGUGCGUUGUAUUCUCUCAAAGGUUUUAAAUGCUUGCAUGCAGCCAUCUCUAGAAUGUCAUAUGGUCUCUCUUCAACUGGAAUAACAGGAGCUGAAAGAAACGUGCAGCAAUGAGGGCACCAUAACCUAUAAAUAAUGUGCUGAGGCCGGAAACCCAAAAUGGUGGAACUGAGAGUGGCGCUAAAGCCCUAAGUUUUGUUCAUACUCUCAACUAAGUGAGAACCUGUUCAAAAAGGGGGAAUUUUUUUAAACAAAAUUCUGGGAGGCCAUUGUUGUGGACUGAGCUCAUUUACUAGGCGCCAACAAACCAAACCAAAAUGGAGUCGCUUGUGCUAAGACUGUAAGAAAACACAGAUUCUAGAACAAACCAGGUUUUGUUCUUUCUCCUGCAAAUCUUUACAACAAACAUUUCUGGUAGCAUAGGUAUCAACCCUCUGAAGUUCCCACUACAUCUUUUGACCAAGUUCAUUUCCUCUCACCUAGAGAUCAUCAAGCUUCAGCUAAUCACACAACAAUGGUUCCAGCUAGUUCCAGGUGAAGAUACCACCCCUGGCCAUGCCUCACUAGACAGAACAGGGUGAGAGUUCUGUGGUCCCCAAUAGGUAGGACUAUGUCCCAAGUCAGCAUGAAGCAGUUACAGAAAUCAGUCUCUCCGCCUCCCAUAAAGAUUUAUGGGGAUCACAUCUCUCAGGGGUAGAUGAGGCAGGAAAAUAGGAUCUGGAGGCAGAGAACAUAAGGCUGAUUCACACUUCAGCUAUAACAAGAAAUAUCCUCUCUAUAGGGCGUACACAGUAAAUGACUUUGUAACUUUACUUCAUCCUCUUCAUUUACAUAGGGUGUGCCCCAGAUGGAGGGUAUUUAAACUCACAAAAACUCUGUAACAGAGUUUUUGAGUCCCUAUGCUCAGGCCUGCUCCCAUACUGUGGGGUGUACUUUCAUUUUCAAUAAAUCCCUUCA
Molecule: long non-coding RNA, 2576 nt
Filed under: Homo sapiens (human)
Lineage: Eukaryota; Metazoa; Chordata; Mammalia; Primates; Hominidae
Description: HSALNT0085368
Source: RNAcentral